GACGAACGCUGGCGGCGUGCUUAACACAUGCAAUUCGAACGGAAAGGCCCUGCUUUUGUGGGGUGCUCGAGUGGCGAACGGGUGAGUAACACGUUAGUAUCCUGCCCUUGACUUUGGUAUACCUUCCGGAAACUGGGGCUAAUACCGGAUAGGAGCUCCUGCUGCAUGGUGGGGGUUGGAACGUUUCGGCGGUUGGGGAUGGACUCGCGGCUUAUCAGCUUGUUGGUGGGGUAGUGGCUUACCAAGGCUUUGACGGGUAGCCGGCCUGAGAGGGUGACCGGCCACAUUGGGACUGAGAUACGGCCCAGACUCCUACGGGAGGCAGCAGUGGGGAAUAUUGCACAAUGGGCGGAAGCCUGAUGCAGCAACGCCGCGUGCGGGAUGACGGCCUUCGGGUUGUAAACCGCUUUCGCCUGUGACGAAGCGUGAGUGACGGUAAUGGGUAAAGAAGCACCGGCUAACUACGUG
RNAcentral lists this ribosomal RNA (468 nucleotides) under uncultured bacterium. RNAcentral's name for it is "partial 16S ribosomal RNA". It matches the Rfam family "Bacterial small subunit ribosomal RNA", at positions 28 to 507 of the family's 1533-position model. The record is from RNAcentral.